GUCCACGCUGUAAACGGUGAGUGCUGGGUGUGGGAGGUGUAAUGCCUUCUGUGCCGAAGCUAACGCGUUAAGCACUCCGCCUGGGGAGUACGGCCGCAAGGUUGAAACUCAAAGGAAUUGACGGGGCCCGCACAAGCGGUGGAGCAUGUGGUUUAAUUCGACGCAACGCGAAAAACCUUACCUGGGCUUGACAUGGAGAGAACCCCGAUGAAAAUCGGGGGUGCCUCGUAAGGGGAGCUCUCACACAGGUGCUGCAUGGCUGUCGU
RNAcentral lists this ribosomal RNA (266 nucleotides) under uncultured bacterium. RNAcentral's name for it is "partial 16S ribosomal RNA". It matches the Rfam family "Bacterial small subunit ribosomal RNA", at positions 793 to 1055 of the family's 1533-position model. The record is from RNAcentral.